RNAcentral lists this ribosomal RNA (118 nucleotides) under Prochloron sp. SP5CPC1. Lineage: Bacteria; Bacillati; Cyanobacteriota; Cyanophyceae; Chroococcales; Prochloraceae. The record is from RNAcentral.
CCUGGUGUCUUUAGCGCCCUGGAACCACUUCGAUUCCAUCCCGAACUCGAUGGUGAAACGGGGCAGCGGCGAAGAUACUUGGGGGGUAGCCCUCUGGGAAAAUAGCUCGAUGCCAGGA